CCUACGGGUGGCAGCAGUGGGGAAUCUUCCACAAUGGACGAAAGUCUGAUGGAGCAACGCCGCGUGAGCGAUGAAGGAUUUCGGUCUGUAAAACUCUGUUGUUCAUGACGAACGUCUCCUAGGUGAAUAAUCUAGGGGAGUGACGGUAGUGAACGAGGAAGCCACGGCUAACUACGUGCCAGCAGCCGCGGUAAUACGUAGGUGGCAAGCGUUGUCCGGAAUUAUUGGGCGUAAAGAGCAUGUAGGCGGCUUUUUAAGUCGGCCGUGAAAAUGCGGGGCUUAACCCCGUAUUGCGGUCGAAACUGGAGGGCUUGAGUGCAGGAGAGGAAAGGGGAAUUCCCAGUGUAGCGGUGAAAUGCGUAGAUAUUGGGAGGAACACCAGUGGCGAAGGCGCCUUUCUGGACUGUGUCUGACGCUGAGAUGCGAAAGCCAGGGUA
RNAcentral lists this ribosomal RNA (437 nucleotides) under uncultured bacterium. RNAcentral describes it as "bacterial SSU rRNA". It matches the Rfam family "Bacterial small subunit ribosomal RNA", at positions 338 to 767 of the family's 1533-position model. The record is from RNAcentral.